RNAcentral lists this ribosomal RNA (250 nucleotides) under uncultured bacterium. RNAcentral's name for it is "partial 16S ribosomal RNA". It matches the Rfam family "Bacterial small subunit ribosomal RNA", at positions 524 to 773 of the family's 1533-position model. The record is from RNAcentral.
UACGGAGGGUGCAAGCGUUAAUCGGAAUUACUGGGCGUAAAGCGCACGUAGGCGGUUUAUUAAGUCAGAUGUGAAAUCCCCGGGCUCGACCUGGGAACUGCAUUUGAAGCUGGCAAGCUUGAGUCUCGUAGAGGGGGGUAGAAUUCCAGGUGUAGCGGUGAAAUGCGUAGAGAUCUGGAGGAAUACCGGUGGCGAAGACGGCCCCCUGGACGAGGACUGACGCUCAGGUGCGAAAGCGUGGGGAGCAAAC